UGUCACGCGGGAGACCGGGGUUCGAUUCCCC
This 31-nucleotide non-coding RNA is filed under the name Bombyx mori (domestic silkworm). Lineage: Eukaryota; Metazoa; Arthropoda; Insecta; Lepidoptera; Bombycidae. The record is from RNAcentral. RNAcentral also lists the same sequence under 3 other names.